Molecule: ribosomal RNA, 429 nt
Filed under: Bacteroidota bacterium
Lineage: Bacteria; Pseudomonadati; Bacteroidota
Description: Bacteroidetes bacterium partial 16S ribosomal RNA
Rfam family: Bacterial small subunit ribosomal RNA
Source: RNAcentral
UAGGGAAUCUUCCGCAAUGGGCGAAAGCCUGACGGAGCAACGCCGCGUGAGUGAUGAAGGUCUUCGGAUCGUAAAACUCUGUUAUUAGGGAAGAACAAAUGUGUAAGUAACUAUGCACAUCUUGACGGUACCUAAUCAGAAAGCCACGGCUAACUACGUGCCAGCAGCCGCGGUAAUACGUAGGUGGCAAGCGUUAUCCGGAAUUAUUGGGCGUAAAGCGCGCGUAGGCGGUUUUUUAAGUCUGAUGUGAAAGCCCACGGCUCAACCGUGGAGGGUCAUUGGAAACUGGAAAACUUGAGUGCAGAAGAGGAAAGUGGAAUUCCGUGUGUAGCGGUGAAAUGCGCAGAGAUAUGGAGGAACACCAGUGGCGAAGGCGACUUUCUGGUCUGUAACUGACGCUGAUGUGCGAAAGCGUGGGGAUCAAACAGG